RNAcentral lists this ribosomal RNA (465 nucleotides) under uncultured bacterium. RNAcentral describes it as "partial 16S ribosomal RNA". It matches the Rfam family "Bacterial small subunit ribosomal RNA", at positions 338 to 795 of the family's 1533-position model. The record is from RNAcentral.
CCUACGGGUGGCUGCAGUGGGGAAUAUUGCGCAAUGGGCGAAAGCCUGACGCAGCGACGCCGCGUGAGGGAUGAAGGCCUUCGGAUCGUAAACCUCCGUUAGCAGGGAAGAACGGUCACUGUGCUAAUCAGCAGUGAAUUGACGGUACCUGCAAAGGAAGCAUCGGCUAACUCCGUGCCAGCAGCUGCGGUAAUACGGAGGGUGCGAGCGUUAAUCGGAAUUACUGGGCGUAAAGCGCUCGUAGGCGGUAUGUCAAGUCAAGGGUGAAAUCCCCGCGCUCAACGUGGGAACUGCCUUUGAAACUGGCAGACUGGAGUGUGGGAGAGGAUGGUGGAAUUCCAGGUGUAGGAGUGAAAGCCGUAGAUAUCUGGAGGAACAUCAGUGGCGAAGGCGACUAUCUGGCACAUAACUGACGCUGAGGAGCGAAAGCGUGGGUAGCAAACAGGAUUAGAUACCCGUGUAGUC